UAUCGGAUAGCUUAACUGGUAGAGCCCUUGGCGCGUAACCGAGAGAUCUGGGUUCGAUUCCCAGUCUGGGCUGUCUGAU
Molecule: transfer RNA, 79 nt
Filed under: Cotesia glomerata
Lineage: Eukaryota; Metazoa; Arthropoda; Insecta; Hymenoptera; Braconidae
Description: tRNA-Thr
Rfam family: tRNA (bases 4-68)
About the family: Transfer RNA (tRNA) molecules are approximately 80 nucleotides in length. Their secondary structure includes four short double-helical elements and three loops (D, anti-codon, and T loops).
Source: RNAcentral